CGGUCACGUUCAGAUGGUUCUCUUACGAUCGGGGAUCGGGGCCUGGAACCAACCCCGUGAACGAGGAAUUCCGGUAGGCGCGGGUCAUCAGCCCGCGUCGAUCACGUCCCUGCCCUUUGUACACACCGCCCGUCGCUACUACCGAUCGAACGGUCCGGUGAGGUCCUCGGAUCUGGCCGACGAGUCCGCUUACGCGCGGCGGCGUUACGCGCCGUCGUCGGCGCGUUCUCUGAUGGCCCGGAGAAGACGACCGAACCCGAUCGCUUAGAGGAAGUAAAAGUCGUAACAAGGUUUCCGUAGGUGAACCUGCGGAAGGAUCAUUAGCGCCCGCAGCAGUAGCG
This 341-nucleotide long non-coding RNA is filed under the name Octopus sinensis (East Asian common octopus). RNAcentral describes it as "uncharacterized LOC118762017". It matches the Rfam family "Eukaryotic small subunit ribosomal RNA", at positions 1543 to 1831 of the family's 1831-position model. The record is from RNAcentral. Lineage: Eukaryota; Metazoa; Mollusca; Cephalopoda; Octopoda; Octopodidae.